UUGAUGCAGUUGCUGAGUCACAAUAAAGCAAUAUAGUCACUACUUCUUGGGAUAACGGAGCACAUUGAGCAGGUUUUUGGAGUACAUUCUGGUAACUCUGCUUGAUAAAUUUUCACAAGAACAGUUUCAUCCUCUUGCUUGAAGUGUAUUAGGUCAUUGACUAAUAACUUAUAAGUUGUCAACAACAAGCAAUUGCAUUUUACACAAGAGGUUAAUUCACAAUUUUUGUCAGUCAAGGAAGCAGUUUUUCCUUUUGAAGUUCUCCCCUAGGUUGUGAUGAGAAUCUAAGCGCUGAGCUGAGAUGCAAAAUGCUGGUGAUGUUAAGGGUUUUGAUUUUUUUACUCUAGGUAAAAUACUUCAUUUACUAAGGUUCAAAUCUUUGCUGAUAAGUAAGAAGUUACCACUAAUGCUACUGUGUUUCUUAGCUUGAAUGACUCAAUGUUAUUAUGAAGAUUACUGUGGUUUUUUGUUGAAAUCGGAUUUCAGAUUGUUUCUAAUGUGACACUUUGAAUGAGAAAAAAACUCUUUUGUCUGGUGACAAGAAUGCUGAAGUUGCAAGAUGUCAAGGCACAUUCCGGUGACAUGAUUGGAGACACUCAGCUCAUGGUUGACACUCUUUGUCUGGCUCUUGGGCCAUGGAAUACAAGGUUCUAAUAACGUUUGAAGCAAUGUCAAUGGCUUAAGCGACAAACAAACAGCUUUAAAAACAUGUAUCAGAAUGAUUGGUCUUCACUCUUCAGGAAUUCAUUGAAGACAAGAGUUCAAAUAGUGACAACAUUUGCAGACAGCCUCAUUCUCCCUGAAAUGGCAAGGUGAUAGAUAACAGCAGUAAGCAUUUGUGUUCAUCUUUGUAUAUGGUACUGAUUAUAUGUGCUCUUGCAGUCUUUUUGGCUUCCAAAAGUUUUUAGUUCCUGAAAUUUCUUUCGUAUAUAUAAAAGAUGGAUUAUAUGACAGUAAUUUUUGUCUUGGGAAUUUUGCAGUCUUUUAGCACUUUCCAAGUUUAAAAAUCUUAGAAAUUUUGACUGGUAAUAACCAUUUCAAGUUUAAAGUCUUGGGACUCAAAUUGGAUGCUACUGCUUAUGUACAAAGUUGUUAAGCAUUCACAUCUCACCCAGUCAAGAAAUUCUUUGAUUUAAGAGCAAGAAAAAAAAAAAUCACUUCCCCCAGCUAUUUAGUCACAGCAUAGAUUGUAUUUUACAACAUCUGUAACAUAUUUUAAUGCAUAACACACUCCAAUGUUAAUUUUUCUUUACAUUUGCAUAUUGUGUGAACCCUGUCUUCUUAAGAUGAAUAGACUAAACCAGUCAACAUUCAUAAACAAAGACAUCAUCACUGUAUAUUGAAAAAUCACACAAAUCUUUGAGCUACUGGAUAGCUUAUUUAUCACUGAUUGUUUAGUCUACCUAAUCUAAUUAGCUCACUCAACUAUUUCUAAUGGUCAUUGUUGAAUAAUCAAGACAACACGUCAUUCUGCAACAGGGUUUUGAUGUUCUGUUUUUUUGGUGAACAUUAAAGACUUUAGACUUGAGUUGAGUUACCAAUUAACAACUUGUCUGAACCUUGAAUGUUGGCUAAACUUUAGAAGAAUUCUAGUACAUGUAUGGAUGCAAAAAUAAAUUUAGUCACUGAUUUGCAAAUGGGGAAAAAAAGACAAAAAGUUAAGACCAACUAAUCUAAAUCCAUCUCUUUAGGUAUCUUAAGCUUAGGAUCUGAUGACAGUGUCAACUUCACCCACUUCAAGAUAAUAGUAGAAACUAGAGAGUGAACAAUUGUUUCAGCGUUGCUUUGCCUUUUAUUGAUCUUUCAGUGAUGGAUUUCCAUGCACUUCUACAAGAAAUUAAAAUUGAUUUCUAAAUAGUGAUUUUUUAGUACUAGUAUAUUAGGUCAAAUAACUACUAGGUUGGAUUAGUGAUGAACAAUUAGAAUAGUUCACUCGGAAUUACAGAUUCAAAUCUUGAUAUUGUCAUUGUACAUAAAAAAAAUCAGUCCAGGUAGGCAUAGAUUCCUUCAAAUACUUUAUGACUCUCGUUUCAUAUGUGUUGUGAAUUGUGUUUCCAGCCAAUUACAACACUAAUUCUAAACUGAGAUAAGAAAAUGUUGAAAGAUUUCAAGUUAGCAGCCAUAGAAAUAUGAUGGAUUAAUCAAAUAGUGACACAUAUACCAUAAAUGGUUAAUGUGUUGAAUCCAAAAUCAAAUCAUUCUUAGCUAGACUUUAUUUGCUUCUAGAAACACAGGUAGACCAAGUCCACCAUAUGCAAAAAAUGAUAGAUUGAAGCAUUUCAUGAAAAUGGUAACACAAUGACUAAUCAACCAACUUCAGUCUCUUCACCAACAUGACAAAAAUUUGACAUUCCAAAAUGAUCAAAUAAGAAUAUCAUUGUUGUCUUAAAAAAAUCAUUGUCAUAAGUAGAAAACUUUGUAUUGUAUGGAUUUAGCAACAAUAAUGUGAUAUCUAUGUUCAAUAACAAAAUUGGAUCAUAUUGCAACUAAGUAUCUUAACUCAACUUAAUAAAAAAGAAUAUUAUUGUUUAAUUGAAAUUGAAAUAAAAAUGAAAAAGAUUAUCCCAAUUUGAUUAAGGAACUUGUAGUAAUUUGAAAUUUAUGUCGUGGUCGCAUAAUUAUGCUUAACAUGAAAAAAUUUUAUAAAAAAAAAACUUAUCUCGUGAUUCUAGUAUUAUGUGGAUGAUUUUCAAAAUAUAUUAAUUAUUGAAAAUAUAAUACAAUAAUACAAUAUAUUUUUUUUGGAAAUUUACAUAUUUAACACUAUAAGAAAAUCAUAAAAUAGAAACCAAUUUUUAGAGGCCAAAAUAAAUAGUUGCAAUAGUAACUAAAUUAGAGACCAUUUUAGAAACUAAAAAAAAAUAGUUUCUAAAUUAGUUUUUAUUAUUGUUAAAUAGUUUCUAAAUUGGUAUCUAAUUAGCAACCAAAGUUUUAACUACCAAUUAUUUAGUUUUAAAAUUUGGUAGCAAAAACCUUGGUUGCUAAUUAGAUAUCGAUUUAGAAACUAUUUAACAAUAAUAGAAACUAAUUUAGAAACCAAAAUUUUUUUAGUUUCUAAAAUGGUCUCUAAUUUAGUUACUAUUGCAACUAAUUAUUUUAGUCUCUAAAAAUUGGUUUCUAUUUCAUAAUUGUCUUGUAGUGUAAAAAUUGUUUUUUCUAAGUUAGUUUCUAAAAGUUAUUUUAAAUCUCAAAUAAAUAUUUUUUUUUUUGGAAAUUUACAUAUUUGAAAAUUGUUUUUUCUAAGUUAGUUUCUAAAACUCAUUUUAAAUCUCAAAUAAAUAAUCAAUGGACUCACUUCAAAAAGGUAAAUUUCUCUUACUAGCUUUUACUUUCCAUUUACAAUCUCAAAUAAACAAUUUUAGCUUUAUUUUCAAUUUGCGAUUAGUAUUUGUUGAAACAAAAUAAUUGAGAGAUAUAAUCGAAAGAAACAAAAUGUUUUAAUCCUAAACCUUUUAGUUAAACGUGGUCAAUAUUUCUGUACAUUUAUAGCAAUGUACUUUUUUCGUUAACCUUAAAAAACUUGUAUAUUUAUUUCUUAUUUUUUAUCUGAUCAUUUAUCAAGUAAAUAAAAAAUUUAAAUGCAACUGAGUACAUUUUUAAAAAAAAAAUUGAUAACUAAAUAAAAUAAAUAAAAACUUUGAUAAUAAGGACAAAAAUAUAAGGAUUAAUUACCUCUAAUUUUACUUUAUCUUUCUAUCACAUCAUAUCACUUGUAAUAUUUAUAUAUAUUUUUUCAUUAGGUGUUAUUUAAUACUUGAGGCAUUUAUCUAUUGUUUUUCAAACCAUUAAACUCUAUUCCUAAUCCAAAAGUAUCCAACCAAAACAUUUAUGAUAUUAAAUAUUGGUAUGUAAUAAAUAUUCUGCGGUGUUAGUGCUAUGUGCACAACAUGCUAAUAUCCAUAUAUUUUAUAAUUUAUUAACACGAAAAUGGCAUUUGGAAACAUUUUUUUGCACAUUAUCUUUCCAGGGUUAAGCAAGAUCCAAAUUAUUUAGCAAAAGUGUUAAUAAAAAAUAUCUUGAAAUUUAAGUUUAAUUCAAUUUUACAAUUUACAUUUAGUUGAUAAAAUUUCUAACACAAUUUUAUCAAUUUAUACGUGAAACUAUAUAAUUAUAGAUAAUCUGAUAACAAUUAAAAAACUCUUAAUAUGAUAGGUUAUAAGUUACUCUGAUACUAUGAUACUAUUUUAAGAAGUGAAUUUAAUAUUUUAAAGAAGUGAAUUUAAUGUUAACUUAAUCUUAACAAGAAAAUCGGAUUAAAAUGGUGUUUAAAGCAGAGUUGUUAGUGAUUCAUCUCUUGGAGUUAUGCGUCAUGAUCCUCGCACAAGUGAAUAGUGUGAAUAGUCAAAGUUUAUGAAGAUUUGGUCAAGUCUAGAGAAUGUUUCUAAUCACUGGCAUUAUAACUCGCUGCCCUGUGCCUCACGACAUGUUUUUUCACUCAUUUCAGCUAAGACCAACCAAAGGACUUCUCAUUUAUUAAGCAAGCAGAGGCAUUGAGACCAACUUUUCAGUGUUGAAUUCGGUAAUUCAAAAGCAAACAAAGGAUGAGGAUGAAUGACACAUGUUGUAAUGCUGUUCUGAUACGACCAUUCAACACAUCAUUUUUUGUUUAUAC
This 4612-nucleotide long non-coding RNA is filed under the name Phaseolus vulgaris (common bean). RNAcentral's name for it is "long non-coding RNA (PVUL_LNC000095)". Lineage: Eukaryota; Viridiplantae; Streptophyta; Magnoliopsida; Fabales; Fabaceae. The record is from RNAcentral.